Molecule: ribosomal RNA, 492 nt
Filed under: uncultured bacterium
Lineage: Bacteria
Description: partial 16S ribosomal RNA
Rfam family: Bacterial small subunit ribosomal RNA
Source: RNAcentral
AGUGAACGCUGGCGGUAGGCCUAACACAUGCAAGUCGAACGGCAGCACAGUAAGAGCUUGCUCUUACGGGUGGCGAGUGGCGGACGGGUGAGGAAUACAUCGGAAUCUACUUUUUCGUGGGGGAUAACGUAGGGAAACUUACGCUAGUACCGCAUACGACCUACGGGUGAAAGCAGGGGAUCUUCGGACCUUGCGCGAUUGAAUGAGCCGAUGUCGGAUUAGCUAGUUGGCGGGGUAAAGGCCCACCAAGGCGACGAUCCGUAGCUGGUCUGAGAGGAUGAUCAGCCACACUGGAACUGAGACACGGUCCAGACUCCUACGGGAGGCAGCAGUGGGGAAUGUUAGACAAUGGGCGCAAGCCUGAUCCAGCCAUACCGCGUGGGUGAAGAAGGCCUUCGGGUUGUAAAGCCCUUUUGUUGGGAAAGAAAAGCAGCAGGUUAAUACCCCGCUGUUCUGACGGUACCCAAAGAAUAAGCACCGGCUAACUUCGUG